This 272-nucleotide unclassified non-coding RNA is filed under the name plant metagenome. Its description in RNAcentral is "partial contains small subunit ribosomal RNA, internal transcribed spacer 1, and 5.8S ribosomal RNA". The record is from RNAcentral.
UUUCCGUAGGUGAACCUGAGGAAGGAUCAUUAAUGAGUUGUCAUGGGGUUCGAUGCUGGCAGCCAGUUUUUGGAUGCAUGUGCUUGCCCUAACAAUCAUCUUCUUCCAAACACCUGUGCACAUUUUUGAGGGAGUCUUGAGUUGGUUGCCGCUCUUGGGUGAUUUUCUCACAUUCCCUUAAAUCAUUAUACGCUAUUAACAAUGUUGAACGUGCUCUGUGCCGCAAGGCCAUUAAUAUAAUACAACUUUUAACAACGGAUCUCUUGGCUCUC